GCCGAGCGCAGUGUCACGUGCCUUUAGUCCCAGCUACUCGGGAGGCUGAGGUGGGAGGAUCGCUUGAGCCCAGGGCUUCUGGGCUGUAGUGCGCUAUGCCAGUCGGGUAUCCGCACUAAGUUCGUCAUCAAUAUGGUUACCUCCCGGGACUGGGGGGCCGCCAGGUUGCCUAAAGAGGGGUGAACCGGCCCAGGUCAGAAACAGAGCAGGUUAAAACUCCUGUGCUGAUCAGUAGUGGGAUUGCGCCUGUGAAUAGCCACUGCACUCCAGCCUGGGCAACAUAGUGAGACCCCGUCUCU
RNAcentral lists this signal recognition particle RNA (299 nucleotides) under Aotus nancymaae (Ma's night monkey). RNAcentral describes it as "Metazoan signal recognition particle RNA (ENSANAG00000002120.1)". It matches the Rfam family "Metazoan signal recognition particle RNA". From Rfam's summary of the family: The signal recognition particle (SRP) is a universally conserved ribonucleoprotein. The record is from RNAcentral. Lineage: Eukaryota; Metazoa; Chordata; Mammalia; Primates; Aotidae.